UACAAAAAAAAUAAUAAUUAAAAAAAAUACAAAAAUAUUUCGACAAAUUUGUCGGUCAAAACCCCCCAAUCCACCGGUAAAUCGAACAAAAGAAGAAAUCCACCCCUCCUGAAAAACAAAUCCACCGGUAAAAACCCUGAAAAAAUCACCUCCUAAUCCCACCAUUUUAUCGUCUCCUCGCCCCUCCAUCCACCCAUUCUCAGCCUUUCACUCUCAUUUUCGCUUCUCACCCAAAAAUACAGAGGAGUGAAAAACCCUCAAACCACCGCUAGAGAGAGGAAAGAGCAGCAGAGAAGGUCUUGGAAUUUGGGAUUUUUUCUCCGAGUGAUUAACGCUUUGGAAGGCGUUUUGCAAUUUGGGGUUUUUUCUCUGAGCGAUUAACGUUUUGGAGGGGGUUUGGAAUUUGGGGUUUUUUCUCUGAGUGAUUAACGCUUUGAAGGGGGUUUUGCAACUUUCUGUGAGAUGCAGCGGCAGAGGUAGCAGGUGGCGGACACAACACAGAGAAAUCCAACAAAGAAAAAUCCCACUGCUUGUAUCUAAAGACGAUUGCUUAUAACAAAUUUUCAUUUGCAAAGAUUUGGCCGAUGGCUGUCCAGUUUAAAUACGGCAGUUAAAUAUUGACCGGCAAGGCGAAUUUUGGAGUCGGCAAUUUGCAUGGCUCCCAAAGAUAAGGAAGCUGUAUGAAAAAUACUUGGAGUGCUCACCAGAGAACUGCUAUGCAUGGAGCAAGUUUGCUGAGUUGGAGAGAUCCUUCGCGGAAAUUGAACGAGCCAAAGCUCUUUUUGAGCUUGCAAUUGAUCAACCUGCGCUAAACAUGCCUAAGCUGUUGUGUAAGGCAUAUAUUGACUUUGAAACAUCUGAUGUUGAAUAUGAAAGACGAGAGGCUUUUGAACCGCACAAAACAUUUGAAGGUGUGGAUUAGUUAUGCCAAGUUCAAAGCAUCUGCUAUGGAUGAGGGCUUGCAGGAGUCAGACUUGCGUGGAAGUGAUUAUGAACAAAAGAGAAAAUGCCUUCAGCGCCAGAUAGUGUUGUUCUAGGAGCAAAGGAUUUGCUUAAGUGAUCACAUGGCAUCGAUUAUUUGCACAGCUGAAGCAAGAAAGGCAGGAUAGAGCAAGGUUUCAAGGCAAAAGUUAUGCUGAGGUGAUCCCGUCACUUAUAUGCAGUAUGUGUUAUGGUUUUAGUUUGUGAUCUUCUUGAAGGCUUCUGGAAUUCAUAAUUGGAAUGGCAUGUGGUGACGUCUUUGAGAACUUUGCAGUCUCUUUUUUCAAGCAUAAAGACAAAAGGACUUGGCAGGGAAUGAAAACACUUGCUGAACUAAGGAUGAAGAAAACCUUCCAAACAAGGAUUCACUUUACACGAUGAUACAAAACCAUAACAAAGUAACUGUUACUGAUGUUAAGAGACCCUAAUUUGAAGAUGUUAAAAAGAUUGUGCUACUUCUGGAGAGUUCAUGGCCUCUACCACUCUGGGGCAUGUGAGUCGGCUCCUUCAUAAACAGGCUUUUGUCACUCAUAAUUGGAAUGACAUGUGAGAGGUUUUGGAUAAUUUUGCAGUCUGUUUUACCAGCAUAAAGACAAAAGGUAACGUGCCUUGUGGCAUUGAUGGUCUAUUUCUGCAUUUUGGUAUGUGAAACUGUUUGUGUUCAACACCUUGCUGCCAGACUUUCUGAAUUUGUUCAGGUGUUGAAACUCUAUUGUUGCUCUCCAUUCUUCAGCUUUUUGGUGCUUAGGUUACACAUUAAACUAAAAUACAACCUUGUAAGAGUCCUAGGUUGUUCCAAAAAGAGUCCUAGAAUGUAAGAUGAUGAUUGCUAGGUUGCUAAAAAAAAAACUCACGUUUUCCUCCUUUUCCCCCAUACAUUGUAAAGCUAUUAAAUUUAUUACUCUAUUCUAUCUUUUUAGAUUAUGAUUUUUCAAUAUUUUCAUUCUGUUAGAUGCAUUAUUAAUUAAAUUACAUGUUACUUGGCAAUCUUAUUUUAUAGAACGAAUCUGCUCGUGUGGUAGACCCUGUGCUCUUGCGUGCUUGGACUCAGGUCGAGUUUGUUGUUUUUUACCAUCCUGUGGCAACAACAUUGCAACCACUAGAUAGGACUUGGCAGCAAUGAAAACACUUGCUGAUAUAAGGAUGGAAAAAACCUUCCAAUGCCAGUCAAUAAGGAUUCAGUUUACUUAUAACUCCUUUUCUUUCCUACUCCAACCUUAAGAAAGAAAUGGAAAUGGAUUAAUAAACAAAUUGAGGGGUACUUCUAAAUUCUAAUAAAGGAAGAUUGAUAACUUUUUAUGGGUGAUUUUAUAAUAUUUUUUGUUAUUUAUUGAAGUUUUAACUUUACUAUUUUAUGUUUGUGAUAAAUGUGAUAAAUGUAGACUAAUAGGAUAAAAAGAUAUUUAGUAUUAAUCACCUCUUUAAUAAGUUUUAAUCUGUCUUUUCGUUAAAAACUACUAGAAUUAUAUUUAGGUACUACUAUCCUUUAUAAUUAAUUCUCAUUUAUUAAUAAAAAUAGUCCUUAAUGGUAUAUAUCUUCUCACACUUUUAUCUAUAUAGUUUAAAUCAGGUAGUUUCUUUUCCUUUUUUUUUAAAUCAGGUCUUAUUUAUUAUUAAAAAAGUUAUUAAGUUAUCAUUAACAGCUUUUGUGUAUAAUAUAGACAUAGAUAACAUGAUUUUUUUCAUCAAAAUAUUGUUCAUUACUCUGCUUUGGAUCCAAUAUCAGAAUGGAGGUAAUCCUUUUAUCUUUUGGUGACUUUUUUAUUCAUUUUGUUAUUAAGGUGAGUAUGUUUCUUCUUCGCUCUACGCAAAACUCUUGUUUGCACUUUCUUAUUUGUUGUCUUUGCUUUUUGGGUGAUAGCUAACAUAAUUGAUUAUGUGUACAAGUUUCUGAAUGUUUGUGCCUUUAGCGUGUUUAUGAAGCACGGCAUUUCCUUUGAUGUUAAGUUAAGGUAUGUGAUACUUCUUGACACAUUACAGUUGGAAGUUAUAGGAGUCGGAUUCAACUCAUAUGUUAUUGUGUCUGGUGGAUUUUUGUGUAAGCUUUAUGGUAACUCUUUUUCGCCAGAACUGGGAUUUUUGUAUCCUUGUAUAGAUGUUAAAAAAGAUUGUGCUACUUUUGAGAGUGCAUACGCUAAAAUCUUUCAAUUGGUAGCCUAGAGAGUUCAUGGCCUCUACCGUUCUGAGCAGUUUGAGUUGGCUCCUUCAUGAAUAGGUUUCUGUAAUUCGUAAUUGGAUUGGCAUAUGGAGAGGUUUUGGAUAACUUUGUAGUCUCUUUUACCAGCAUUGCCUUGUGGCAUUGAUGGUCUAUUUCUGCGUUGUGGCAUGUGAAUUGUUUGUGUUCAACACCUUGCUGCCCAACUUUUUGAAUUUGUUCAAGUGUUGAAACUCUAUUGUUGCUCUCCAUUCUUCAGCUUUUUGGUGCAUGAGUUACACAUUUAACCAAAUAUAACCUUGUAAGAAUCCUAGGUUGUUCCAAAAAGAGUCCUAGGAUGCAAGAUGAUGAAUGCUAGGUUGUUCCAGAAAGUGUUAUGUUUUUACAAUAUGAUCUUCCAAUAUUUUCAUUCUGAUAGAUACAUUAUUAAUUAAAAUUACAUAUAUAUUUUUACCAAUCUGAUUUUAUAGAAUAAAUCUACUCGUGUGGUAGACAUUGUGCUCUUGUGUGCUUAUUAAUGGUCAAAGUUCCUCAUUUUACCACCUUGAGACAACAGCAUUGCAAACCCCUCGAUAGUGCAGGGACUGAAAACAAUUGUUCAAAGAAGGAGGGGAACAAAACCUUCCAGUCAACAAAGAUCACGUUACACGGUGAGAACAUCCUGUUGUCACUCUUUUUAUUCCUUCUCCAACCUUAAGAA
Molecule: non-coding RNA, 3836 nt
Organism: Sesamum indicum (sesame)
Lineage: Eukaryota; Viridiplantae; Streptophyta; Magnoliopsida; Lamiales; Pedaliaceae
Source: RefSeq, a predicted model, not a curated record